CCUACGGGAGGCAGCAGUGGGGGAUAUUGCACAAUGGGGGAAACCCUGAUGCAGCGACGCCGCGUGGGUGAAGAAGUAUUUCGGUAUGUAAAGCCCUAUCAGCAGGGAAGAAAGAAGACGGUACCUGACUAAGAAGCCCCGGCUAACUACGUGCCAGCAGCCGCGGUAAUACGUAGGGGGCGAGCGUUAUCCGGAUUCACUGGGUGUAAAGGGAGUGUAGACGGCCGUGCAAGCCAGGAGUGAAAGCCCGGGGCCCAACCCCGGGACUGCUCUUGGAACUGUGCGGCUGGAGUGCGGGAGGGGCAGGCGGAAUUCCUGGUGUAGCGGUGAAAUGCGUAGAUAUCAGGAGGAACACCGGCGGCGAAGGCGGCCUGCUGGACCGCGACUGACGUUGAGGCUCGAAAGCGUGGGGAGCGAACAGGAUUAGAUACCCGAGUAGUC
This 441-nucleotide ribosomal RNA is filed under the name uncultured bacterium. Its description in RNAcentral is "partial 16S ribosomal RNA". It matches the Rfam family "Bacterial small subunit ribosomal RNA", at positions 338 to 795 of the family's 1533-position model. The record is from RNAcentral.